GGCUAGCUCUGCUUUUGGCUCUCUGAGCCGAUUCAGAGUUUAGUCAUCCGUAUGGGAAACUAGCUCGGCCUUCACUGGUCGGCUAGUGGAUCAUACACUUUACUUUGAAAAAAUUAGAGUGUUUCAGGCAGGCAAUUGCUUGGAUACUUCAGCAUGGAAUAAUGGAAUAGGACUUUGACCUAUUUGUUGGUUUCUUCGAGGUCAAAGUA
This 209-nucleotide ribosomal RNA is filed under the name uncultured fungus. Its description in RNAcentral is "partial small subunit ribosomal RNA". The stretch from base 84 to 209 matches the Rfam family "Eukaryotic small subunit ribosomal RNA", at positions 736 to 864 of the family's 1831-position model. The record is from RNAcentral. Lineage: Eukaryota; Fungi.